RNAcentral lists this ribosomal RNA (482 nucleotides) under uncultured bacterium. RNAcentral describes it as "bacterial SSU rRNA". It matches the Rfam family "Bacterial small subunit ribosomal RNA", at positions 32 to 524 of the family's 1533-position model. The record is from RNAcentral.
AAUCAACGCUGGCGGCGUGCCUCAGACAUGCAAGUCGAACGAUUAAACUUUCCUUCGGGAAAGAUAUAAAGUGGCGCACGGGUGAGUAACACGUAGGUAAUGUACCUUUGGGUGGGGAAUAACUUAGGGAAACUUAAGCUAAUACCGCAUAAUGCAGCGGCUCCUUCGGGAGACAGUUGUUAAAGAUUUAUCGCCUAAAGAGCAGCCUGCGGCAGAUUAGCUAGUUGGUAAGGUAACGGCUUACCAAGGCGACGAUCUGUAUCCGACCUGAGAGGGUGGUCGGACACACUGACACUGAAUAACGGGUCAGACUCCUACGGGAGGCAGCAGUCGGGAAUUUUGGGCAAUGGGCGAAAGCCUGACCCAGCAACGCCGCGUGAAGGAUGAAGUCUUUCGGGAUGUAAACUUCGUAAGAAUAGGAAGAAUAAAUGACGGUACUAUUUGUAAGGUCCGGCUAACUACGUGCCAGCAGCCGCGGUAAU